GCAUCCGUAGCUCAGCAGGAUAGAGUACUCGGCUACGAACCGAGCGGUCGGAGGUUCGAAUCCUCCCGGAUGCACCA
Molecule: transfer RNA, 77 nt
Filed under: Escherichia coli
Lineage: Bacteria; Pseudomonadati; Pseudomonadota; Gammaproteobacteria; Enterobacterales; Enterobacteriaceae
Also listed under: 5 other names
Description: tRNA-Arg
Rfam family: tRNA
About the family: Transfer RNA (tRNA) molecules are approximately 80 nucleotides in length. Their secondary structure includes four short double-helical elements and three loops (D, anti-codon, and T loops). Further hydrogen bonds mediate the characteristic L-shaped molecular structure. tRNAs have two regions of fundamental functional importance: the anti-codon, which is responsible for specific mRNA codon recognition, and the 3' end, to which the tRNAs corresponding amino acid is attached (by aminoacyl-tRNA synthetases). tRNAs cope with the degeneracy of the genetic code in two manners: having more than one tRNA (with a specific anti-codon) for a particular amino acid; and 'wobble' base-pairing, i.e. permitting non-standard base-pairing at the 3rd anti-codon position.
Source: RNAcentral